This 502-nucleotide unclassified non-coding RNA is filed under the name uncultured Glomus. RNAcentral describes it as "SSU rRNA". It matches the Rfam family "Eukaryotic small subunit ribosomal RNA", at positions 569 to 1077 of the family's 1831-position model. The record is from RNAcentral. Lineage: Eukaryota; Fungi; Glomeromycota; Glomeromycetes; Glomerales; Glomeraceae.
AGCAGCCGCGGUAAUUCCAGCUCCAAUAGCGUAUAUUAAAGUUGUUGCAGUUAAAAGCUCGUAGUUGAAUUUCGGGAUCAAUAUGUUUGGUCGUGCCUCGGUACGUACUAGCUUAUUGGUUUCUCCUUUCUGAAGAACCAUGAUGUCAUUCAUUUGGUGUCGUGGGGAAUCAGGACUGUUACUUUGAAAAAUUAGAGUGUUUAAAGCAGGCUCACGCUUGAAUACAUUAGCAUGGAAUAAUGAAAUAGGACGUUUGAUUCUAUUUUGUUGGUUUCUAGGAUCGACGUAAUGAUUAAUAGGGAUAGUUGGGGGCAUUAGUAUUCAAUUGUCAGAGGUGAAAUUCUUGGAUUUAUUGAAGACUAACUACUGCGAAAGCAUUUGCCAAGGAUGUUUUCAUUAAUCAAGAACGAAAGUUAGGGAUCGAAGACGAUCAGAUACCGUCGUAGUCUUAACCAUAAACUAUGCCGACUAGGGAUCGGAUGAUGUAAUUUUUAAUGUACUC